Mus musculus (house mouse) is the source of this 1411-nucleotide RNA transcript. It is a transcript of the gene named tektin 5 like, with no coding region annotated. The transcript has a single exon. The record is from RefSeq and is marked validated. Lineage: Eukaryota; Metazoa; Chordata; Mammalia; Rodentia; Muridae.
AGUUCCUGAGAAGCCCUGACCUCUUGGGCAAAUUUUGCCCGCGUGGGUCUGAUGGGGAAAGAUGGAAUUUCUUGGAACCAUUCAGACAGCGAGUUACUGUGGCUCCAAGAAAGACUGUGGCUUGCAGUGGCCGCCCCCUGCUGGGCAGGACCCUGAGGUACAGGAGUGCUACCAAUCCUUUCACCUGCCCCGCUGCCGCUCUGCUUGGAGACCCAGAGUCUUCUACAAGGUCGCCACCACCCAGAAAAGCCAGGAGGAUAGCGCAGGCGACCAGGGGCUGUCCACAAUUCUGCCCUCGCUCCACUCCCCGCACUUCAAUCGUUAUACCCAACGCGAAUGGGACCGCUCUAAUGAUCUGCUGAUCAGUAUUGCAGAGGCAUCGCGGCUCCGCGCCAGCCGGCUGACAGACGACUCCCUGCGGAUCAUGCAGGAUAAGGAGCAGCUGACACGCCAGAUGCAAGAGGGAACCUUCCGGAACCUGGGCCAGAGGCUCUCCGACAUCCGCUUCUGGAAGUCCGGGUUGUGUCAUGAGCGGGACAUGCUGAUGGCGGAGAUCAACAACUUGAAAACCCUCAAGAUGCGCUUGGAGUGCGCCGCUAAGGAGGUGAACUGUCCCCUGCAGGUGACCCUGGACUAUCUGUACAGUAAGGAGAAAAGGAUCGGGAUUAACCUGGUCCAUGACAACGGGGAGAAAAACCUUCUCCGGGUAGCAGAUUUACUUAAAUGUUGCCAAGAUCAGAUGAGAAAAUUAGCUAAACGAAUUGAUUCCCAGAUGCAAGAUAAUCGAGAUGUUCAACAUGCCCUAGAGCAAGACAUCGCAGACAAGAGCUCUGCACAGUCUAUUGAGGAGAGAUGUUUAAACCUAAAAAACACAUCUGAAUCCAUUAACUUCUUCCGUGGCAUGGAGAACUUUGACGAAACGGUCUCCGUUCCUGAAACCUGGGCCAAGUUCAGCAGUAACAACAUCAGACACGCUCAGACUACGCGGGCCAAGUCUGUCCAGCUGCGGGAGGAGGUAGAGCACCUGUUUGAGACCUUGACAGCCCAGGUGUGGAGGCAUUUCACCAACAUCAACCUGGCCUACCAGUCUGCCCAACCUGGAGUUCUACAGGGGUGUGGCAAACACCAAAUAAGACCCAGCAGCUGCAGAGCAGUCUUCUAGAAAGGCAGACACCACUAGUGAACCAGCAGUUCAAUCCUGAAGAAACCUCUAGCCCUUUUCUUUUCUUCUUUUUUUUUUUUUUAUACUCAGUCACCUUUAUUAGUUAUACCUCAGGUUAUUUUUUUAAAUAAUAUUUCACACCAUUAAAGCAAUCACACCACAUUAAUUAAAUUGAUGCAUCCCAAAUUCAUGCGUCUUGAUCUUUACAGGUGAUAAAGAUUACAUCUCAAUAAAAAAAAAAUCCUUCGA